RNAcentral lists this ribosomal RNA (444 nucleotides) under uncultured Desulfocapsa sp. RNAcentral's name for it is "bacterial SSU rRNA". It matches the Rfam family "Bacterial small subunit ribosomal RNA", at positions 933 to 1382 of the family's 1533-position model. The record is from RNAcentral. Lineage: Bacteria; Pseudomonadati; Thermodesulfobacteriota; Desulfobulbia; Desulfobulbales; Desulfocapsaceae.
UGGAGCAUGUGGUUUAAUUCGACGCAACGCGAAGAACUUACCUGGGCUUGACAUCUGCGGAAUUUCUAUGAAAGUAGGAAGUGCCUUCGGGAGCCGCAAGACAGGUGCUGCAUGGCUGUCGUCAGCUUGUGUCGUGAGAUGUUGGGUUAAGUCCCGCAACGAGCGCAACCCUUAUCUUUAGUUACCAUCAUUCAGUUGGGGACUCUAAAGAUACUGCCCGGUCAACGGGGAGAAGUGGGGAUGACGUCAAGUCCUCAUGGCCCUUAUGUCCAGGGCUACACACGUACUACAAUGGCAGGUACAAAGGGCAGCCACUUAGCGAUAAGGAGCGAAUCCCGUAAAACCUGUCUCAGUCCGGAUUGGAGUCUGCAACUCGACUCCAUGAAGUUGGAAUCGCUAGUAAUCGCAGAUCAGCACGCUGCGGUGAAUACGUUCCCGGGCCUU